UAAUUAAUUAAUGAGAAAUGUGGUUUUUAAUAUCACAUGAUCAAGCAUACAAGCACACAGCGAUAAUAAUGUCAUUCACAACAUUAGUUUUGAAAAAGUUUUAAUAAACUCAGAUUUUUGAAUUAUAGAAAAAGUGGUAGUGAAAGAAGGGUGUGACAUAGUAAUAAAACAACUAGCAUGGCAAUGAUAUUAAUGGUAUCUAGAGAAUUGAUUAUCUUGCGUGUGAUCCAUCUUGGAAGAAGAACGAAACCGUGAAGCAGACGAACCGACUUAGUCGAUCGGAUCCUCGCAAUCAGACAUGCUUGUGGAACUCUAUCGAGACGAAGCAAACUGUAAACAAGAAUUAACACACGAUAUUCACAACGGCACAUGCACGAUAUGAUGCACAACCUAAUAUGAUGCAUGUCCAUUUUAAUUAUGCAAGGCGUGGAACGACAAUUCACAACAAUCGAACACUACACAUUAAGUGAAGCUCAAUAUGCAACGAGUUGCAUAUUGAUGAAACUCCACAUACAAAUUAUUUAGUUCACACCUAUUUAGGUAUACGACAAUAUUAAAUAUUGUUUAACAUGGCAAGAGGUGAAACAUAAAUAAACUACCUAUCUAGACAUUUAAAAUGAGGACGGAAACGACAUAUAGGAUCUCCAAAAUGACCCCAUAUGUUAAUUAAGAAAUCUGUUUUUAAUGUUUGGUAAACAUCAGAAUAAAGAGUUUCACGUGGUUCUAUGCGUCAUUCUAGUCGAUUUACAUAUAUAUAGCUCAUCUCCAACGGAGCUACGGUUAACCAGCUACGGAUUAAACCGAUUUAGCAUGGCUUCACGCAAAACAAGGCAAACAACAAGGUUAAUCGUUUUUAAUAUGCAUGAGAGUUGGAAAAUAUUGAUCUACACGAAGUUUUACGCGUCUGCAUAUCUAACUCAUUUUGAUCCGACGCACGGUUUAAAAGAUAUGACCAUCUUUAAAACAUGGCAUUUUCUGAAUUCUUGGAUAAAGAAGAAAUUUGCACGGCCGAAAAAAACACAACCGGGCUGAAUUGCAUCCUAGUGCAGCAACCCAGGAUUGGAUCAGGCCCAAGUGACCAUGUGUGAAAAACGGAGAACCUGGGAUCUGAACUCCGGUCUCUUGGGUCUACACAUGUGCGGCUGACCGAUAGCUCUACUAAUAACCUGUGAUCAGAAAAGGGUUCGGGAGAAGGCAAAAUUGACAAAANGCAUUAGGUUUUGGUUUGUAGUUAGUGGUAGUAGUUAGUAUUAGUAGUAGUUCAUAUGAGUAUAUGAGUCUUAUUUGAAUAUUAGUAAAUGAGUAAUUUUUUGUGAUUUGUAGGAUGGUGUGGCUUUUGAAUGAUGUUUAUGACGCUGAACACCGGGCCUAUUUCAUGUCGGAGAAGAAGAUGGUAAGUAGAAAAUGAUUAGUAGAUUAGUAAUAUUUUGAAAAUGUAAUAAGCACUUGAUAUCUUCUUCUCCUAUAUGUUUGCAGGAGCUUACGCCCCUGAAGAUCCGGUCUCAUGGGGCAUCCUCUGUAAUGCAUUACGAUGAGCGGUACACCCCGUACAUCGAGAUGACGGGACUCCUUCCAUUCGUGCAGCUUGUGAGUCGGUCAACUCCAAAUCUGAACGCUGCGGCAGUCACAGCACUCAUUGAUCGUUGGAGGCCGGAGACACAUAGUUUUCACCUCCGGACCGGAGAGAUGACGGUUACUCUUCAAGAUGUUUCCAUGAUCACCGCUCUNNNNNNNNNNNNNNNNNNNNNNNNNNNNNNNNNNNNNNNNNNNNNNNNNNNNNNNNNNNNNNNNNNNNNNNNNNNNNNNNNNNNNNNNNNNNNNNNNNNNNNNNNNNNNNNNNNNNNNNNNNNNNNNNNNNNNNNCUCUUCCCAUCGAGGGGAAGCCACUAUGUAUGAGCACUGAUUCUGAGGGAUGGUGGCAUCAAAUGGAGGCUCUUAUUGGUAUGUCGCCGCAGGAGCCGGAGGUGGAAGAUGGAGGGAAGAAAGAUAGAGUCCCUGCCGGCGCCACUUUCACUUGGAUUGCCGCCAACUUUGCUCAUUGUCCUGAGGACGCAGAUGACGAGGUCAUCCAGAGGUAUGCUCGCGUCUACAUGUGGUACGUCAUCUCUAGGACUAUCUUUGCGGACGGCACAGGCAAGAAUGCUCCUUGGAUGUGGCUGAAGGCGUUGACUGUUUUGGACAACAAGUUCAGCUGGGGCUCGGCCGCACUUGCUUACUUGUAUCGGCAGGUAAUAAAUUGUUAAUGUUAAGUACUCUCUGUUAUCUUUUUCUGCUAAACUGAUGCAUGUUUGUUGUUACUUGUAGUUGGACGAUGCUUGUCGCAGGACGACAAAGGACGGUGGAGUUGGUGGUUGUAUGCUCCUACUUUCAGUAUGGAGCUGGGAACGCCUACCUGUUGGACGCCCUAAAAGCUCAAAGUGGAAUACCUGGGAUGACCACGACAACUCUGUACGUCAACCUACAUGGGCUUACAAGUGGGACUUGGUACCGGAGGUGGCAAGCGAAGUGAACCUAUUGUACAAGCAGUACACCAACGAGAUGGAUUCGCUUACCCCCGAGCAGGUAAGAUGGUUUCAGAGUUGACUUCCAGCUUCUAUGUUGUGAGUGAAAUGAAUUGUGGUAUUCAUCUUGUGUUGUAGGUUGAAUGGGAGCCAUAUGGUGUCGGGACAAACUUUGGUGAUGCACACACGUUCGAGCUGAAUCCACUAUGCGUGCAGGAAAGACAUCUUUGGCUAAUGCGUUGUCCCCUAAUAUGCAAUUGGGCGGUUGAGUGGCAUCUCCCGCAUCGUGUGCUGCGUCAAUUUGGUUACUUUCAGCCACACCCGCCGGAGUGGGUGGACACGGACACACAGCUUCACAGGUAACAAAAAAUAAUUAGUGAUUAGUUUUGUUCUUAGUGUUGAGCGAGCUACUGAUGUGUUUUGUUCAAAGCAGGUUGGAUAGGAGGAGGCAGCGAAAAAUCAAGGACUGGCAGAAGCAUCAUAAGAGCUACGUCCUUAUGUUCGAGCAAAGUGUGCAGGCAACUUCGAGCAUACAACGAACCCAGUACCGUCAGCAUUGUGCUCUUGCGUUCAGCAACUACCUAAGAUGGUUUUAGGAGAGUACUCGUGUCGAGAUUUGUCCGCCGGCUUACGAGGAGGACAUAUUGGAAGAACCCACUGAGUACGAUGAACUUGCCCAAGGCGGUUACAGCAAGUUGAUUCGCGAAGGGUACCAAACUUCCUUCGCCCCUGUCCUGAACUUUGUGGUAAGUGUGCUCCCCUAUGUAAAUUAUGAAUUCUAGCGGACCUAUUCACUUGCACUUAUUUGUUGUCAUUGUCUUGUGAUCAUAGCGCAAAGAGGUCAAGAAACAAGCUGACGAGUCCGAAGAUAUUCUAGAUAACACACCUUGAGGAAAAAAGGGAGAAUGUGCACUUCGUCUAUUCAUAAAGGUGUUGUGUCAUUAUUAUUAUUUUGCCCAGAAUGCAACAUUAUAGGUUACCUAAUAUAUGUCAUUUAUAUUUGAAUCUAACAGGAACAGGGCAAGAAGUUACGGCGCCUAUCCAACAUUUUAGGUUGCCGUGACCCUGAAUAUGUUUCACCUUCGAGAUCCGGUUCAUCCGAAAGAAAUACACUUGACGAUUCGGCUUCUUCGGGCGCUCAUAUGGAUGAUGGUGACAUUACCCAAAGAAAUACUCAGGAGGAUGAUGCUGACACUCAUCAGGUAUGACAUAGCCAUGCAGUUUGCAUUUUCAACCUUCAGCCUUGAACCUUCAAAUUUGUAACUUUGAACCUUCAUGUGUAUUAGGCUGCGGACGACAUGACGUUGAAGGCUUUCCAACGCUCCGCUUACGUGUUGAAGCCCAGGAAGGAAUUUAAGCGCUACUCACCGGAUGAUUAUGCGAAAGGGAAGAAUCCGGUGGCCGGGAGCUCUCGUUUGUCAAGGAUGAGAAGCAGGGAGGAUGAGGUUGAGGAUGACGAUGACGAUGAGUCCGAUGACCCGGAUCAAUUUGUGGUUGCGAGAAGGAAGAAGCUAGUAUCCAAGAGGGGACGAGGCCCUAAGUGAUUUGUAGUUGGUGUUGCACUUGUCGAGCUGAACUAUUUAUUGUAGUCUUGAACUAUUUCGAGUUGUGAACCAUUUAGUUCUAGUUGCAGUUGUUGAGAACCAUUUAGUGCUAUCAAAAGAUCCUUAUUGCUGGAAAUAUAUUGCUUUCUUGCACUCACAAGAUCCUUAUUGCUGUCAAUAUAUUGAUGUAUUGCUGUUCUAAGAUCUUUAUUGCUGUCAGAAAUUGCUUUUCAUAUUCAGUUCCAGCAGGUUUUCACAUGUGUGGCGCCUAAGNUUUUGUCAAUUUUGCCUCGGGAGAAUAUGACACAAACCCUCGAGCCAAUGUGAACAACACUACAAACCCAAACAGGGUGCAAAAACAACAGAGCGUGUCCGGGAUUUGAAACCCAGACCGCCUGGUUAAACAUAUCGCUCGCUACCAAUCGGGCUAGGAGGUGAGUUCUGGAAUGAUGCUGCUUUGACCGAAAAUAAACAUGUCGCAGGGCGGAGCUCACCUCGGACCAGAUCAGACCAAAAGCGCAAGGUGGUUUGCUUGGGUCGGCGGUUGAGGCAAGGUGGGCCGGCACCACAUGGCCCACGCGGGCGAAAGAGCGAGCGGGAGGGCUUUGUCCUCCUCGCUCCCAUGGUCGUGACGAGGCAGGCACGGGGAUGCUCAAAUUCUGGCAUGAACUCGAGCAGCAGAGGUCAGGGAUGGGGCGCUGAAGCAUGGAUUCGGCCGGUAACACACCACACCGGCGGGGAGUUCCCCGGAUCUGGCGGCAGCGUGCCCUGCGGCAGCGAGCGGCGAGAAACUCGAGGCCAGCAGCCAUGGGUUUGUGCGGUCAACGGAGGGGGCGGGGUACGGCGUGGGGGAGCCCUAGCGGCGCUCCGGCGGUCGCCAGCAACCUGGCCGGGUCCGGUGGUCGGAGUGGAUGCAAGUUUGGGGCGGCCCGGGAAACGGGAUCGAGGACCUCCCCUCGGUUUGCUACGGGCGCUGGGGAGCUCCAGUUCCUUGGAACGGUGGCGGCGAACCGGGCCUGGGCAGGCCCUGGUUGGGCUCGGCGGGCCGGCAGUUGGGGUGGGAGGUGGAGGCUGUUGGCGGCUGCGGUGGGAGAUGGCUGCGUGGAUUUCAAGGUAGGGUUAGGGUUUCAAGGCUAGGGGUCUAUUUAUAGGAAAUUGGGUUAAAUUAGGUUUUUUUGUCCAAUUCGGAUUGUUGGAUCGCGAUCCGAUGGCUCUGAUCGGAGGGGUAGCUAGGUGUGUUGUUGGGGUGUGUGGAUACGUUGGACUGAGAUGAGAGAGGGGUUUUUUGGGCCCGAGACAACAUUUUAAAACAUCGAAAAACCUAUGACGAUAAACGAGUGACGACGCCGCUACAGUCGAC
This 5404-nucleotide long non-coding RNA is filed under the name Hordeum vulgare. Its description in RNAcentral is "long non-coding RNA (HVUL_LNC018971)". The record is from RNAcentral. Lineage: Eukaryota; Viridiplantae; Streptophyta; Magnoliopsida; Poales; Poaceae.